This 253-nucleotide ribosomal RNA is filed under the name uncultured bacterium. Its description in RNAcentral is "partial 16S ribosomal RNA". It matches the Rfam family "Bacterial small subunit ribosomal RNA", at positions 524 to 776 of the family's 1533-position model. The record is from RNAcentral.
UACGGAGGGGACUAGCGUUGUUCGGAAUUACUGGGCGUAAAGCGCACGUAGGCGGAUUUGUAAGUCAGGGGUGAAAUCCCGGGGCUCAACCUCGGAACUGCCUUUGAUACUGCAAAUCUCGAGUCCGGAAGAGGUGAGUGGAAUUCCUAGUGUAGAAGUGAAAUUCGUAGAUAUUAGGAAGAACACCAGUGGCGAAGGCGGCUCACUGGUCCGGUACUGACGCUGAGGUGCGAAAGCGUGGGGAGCAAACAGG